Non-coding RNA from Xyrichtys novacula (pearly razorfish), 2784 nucleotides. NCBI's taxonomy places the organism in Eukaryota, Metazoa, Chordata, Actinopteri, Labriformes, Labridae. The record is from the annotation of a GenBank genome assembly.
GGCGUUGACGGCCUCGUGUCCAAGCACAGCCGGCCCGUGCGGCGGGAUGGAAGGAACGUGAACUGUAACAGGUGAGGGGGAAAUAAGGAAAAUAAGAUAACUCAAAGAAUGAAAACAGGAAACAGAUGCCUGGUGAUGUGUGUUACUUGUGAAAUGGGUUGCUUCGGCCCUAGAAGGGGAGUUUGAAAUUAGUCAUAGGCAGCUGUAUCCUGGUGUGGACGUUCAAAAGACCCCCCCUCCACACACACAUACACACACACACACACGUCCUCCUCCUGUUGGAGCACAAUCACAGACAAACAGACAGCUUUGUCCAGUUAAAACAAAAAAUACUGUUUUCUGUACCUGUUAUCAAAAGAUUUCAUCCACUAUCUCUAAAUUAACAGUUUCCCCUCACUUUACAAACUUCAGUGUUUUAUUUGUGGCUCAUAGUGCUGCAGUAAAAGCCAGAUUUUUUUAAUUCAGGACCUCAUUAAGAUUUUUAGAUAUUCCAAUCAACACAUUAUGGCACUUUACACCCUCCCUGCACCAGAAUACACUCGGGUGUGUUUGCUCUUGAUAAUGGUCCCCUCGUAUUUGAACUCUCCAUUACGCUCGUGUUUAUUUUUUGAAGUCAAAAUUGCACCCUGGCUAUAAAUAACUUUGGUAUUUUACGCAGAUAUUGUCUUAAGGGAGCCUGCCUUAGAAUUCUGCUGGUAUAAAAACACUUUAUCAAAGGAAGCAUAUGUUUGUGUGUGUGUGCAAGACUGCAAGCAUUGUGUUUCUACACAAAGUCCACUCUGCCAUGCUGGUUACUGGCAGACUGGCCUCAAAAUUAUGCAAGAAUACAAAAACAGAUGUAAAAAUACUUAAAAGUUUGAGCAAAAGUUAGAAUAAAUUCUGUCUUUUUUUUGCUUUUCAUUUCGAAAAUCUACAUUUUCAGGGCUAAAUCUGACAGUUUUUGUAAACAGCAUAACCCCCUGGAGGCAAAGGUCACACUUUGAUGACUUUUCUGGUGGCUCCCUGAGUGUUUUCCUGAUUCUCAAGUAUCCAAUAAACUACACAAGCAGGGGAUACAUACACAGCCGUCCCCUGUCAGGAAAACCAGCCCAAAUCCUUACUGCAUAAUACUUUAAAUAAAUCACGCCACAGGAAAGAAAGAGCACAAUCAUUGUUUAUGGCAGAACUACAGAGCUUAUCUUCAAAGCAGCAGAUCCUUUUGAAUUUGUAUCAGGUCUCAGACGAGCAAAAAGAAAGCCAGCAGUGCGUCGCUCUGCUUUGUGAUCAUGUGCUCGCACAAAAGUUUAGGAAAAAGGAAUCAAAUCAAGUAUUCUCUCACCCAAAACAAAUCAUUAAUCUCGGCUAAAACGAUUUGUUAGUCUGUUUUGGUCAAGCGGGUCUCUGCUUCAUAUAAUCUAAUGUCUGAGUCUAACCAGUUCACACUAUUUAAUUAAACAUCCAAGCAGUGCUGCUGGAGCUGCAAGCCCAGAUUGUUUUGGUUAUCUGCUGCUUUGAGUGAGCCGUUUCAGACAGACACAGAUAUCAUGGUGUCUCACAGGUCUCAGUCUAGUUCCAGUUAAUAAUGAGGGCUAAUUACAGCAGGCCUCUCUCUGUCCCCCUGUCUGCUGAGGACAGACUCGUGGAUCAAAUAGGCUAAUCGGUGAUACAUUCACACUGAAGUGGAAGUAAAGACAAAUUUCUGUCCAGUAAAAACAAAAAAUUAAGGUGUGACAAUAAACUUCUAUUGGAAAAAAAUCCAACAUUACAGACAGUAAAAGAAUUAGAGAAACGUACUCUGGUCCUCAGAUAAGACUCUUAGCAGUGGAAUACAAUUCCUAAUUUACAAAGAAUAGCGCUAUUUUCCAGCAUGAGUGAAGCUCUGCCUCAUUAGCCAGUCUCAGACAGAAAAAACACAAUUAGAAAGCAGAGUGACAACAAUGAAAGGAAAAAAAGAGGCAGACCAAAGAUUCAAUAAAUCAAUUAAUCUUUUUCAUUCAAUUGCUUUUACACAAAAAUGUAGACAUGCAGGACGUCAAACAAGGACUGUUUUUUUUAAAUUGACAGUCAGUCAGCUUUGAAAUUAAAUACUUUUAAGUGUUAAACAUAUUUAGUAAAAAUGAAUGCCUGCUAUAGUUCUGGUUUUCUGAGAUGCUCAAUACACAUUCAAUGUGAAAUACCAGCCAUAGACUUACUUGUUGAAGGAGCGUGACACAUCUUUUGAGCAAAAUAUCUUUACUUCUGAUGUUUAAUUUUAACUUUUCUCAGCUUUUAAGGCACCAAUUUCACAUCUUCAUUGUCAUAUGUUGCACGUUUUUAUUUCCUUCUCUAUUUUUUGUAUUAAUCAAAUGUAUUAAACCUCAAUUUUACCUGGAAAAAUACAAAGGAAUCUGGGCAAAAAUGCAGCACAAAUUCUUCACACAAUAAACAAACAGCAGAUAAUGACAACAACAAAUUACAUUCUGAAAGUUAAUUUGAAGUUUAUUGAUUUCUAUUUUUCCUUUUUCAUUAUCUGUCUUUUUUCAUAACAUUUCAGUCAAAGAUGAGUAUGAAGACAGAAGAACAAUACAUACAAUCUAAUAUUUUUUGCAUGAGGAUUCAAUAUUAGAAAUACAAUGAUACACAACAGGAAAAAGCAUCAAACUAUCCCACUGAGACGCUUGAAGAAGUUAAUAUUUGCCUUUUUAUUUUGCUUGAUUAUUCCCAUGAAUGUUUUUGAAAUGUCAAAACUCUUCAACUGACUAUUUCAGCCCUAAAAUGAUGUGAUAUGGAUUUUGCAGAAAUCCAAAUGUCACACUGCUCCUCUGA